Molecule: ribosomal RNA, 483 nt
Filed under: uncultured bacterium
Lineage: Bacteria
Description: partial 16S ribosomal RNA
Rfam family: Bacterial small subunit ribosomal RNA
Source: RNAcentral
UUGAACGCUGGCGGCAGGCCUAACACAUGCCAGUCGAGCGGAUGAAGGGAGCUUGCUCCUGGAUUCAGCGGCGGACGGGUGAGUAAUGCCUAGGAAUCUGCCUGGUAGUGGGGGAUAACGUCCGGAAACGGGCGCUAAUACCGCAUACGUCCUGAGGGAGAAAGUGGGGGAUCUUCGGACCGCACGAUAUCAGAUGAGCCGAGGUCGGAUUAGCUAGUUGGUGGGGUAAAGGCCUACCAAGGCGACGAUCCGUAACUGGUCUGAGAGGAUGAUCAGUCACACUGGAACUGAGACACGGUCCAGACUCCUACGGGAGGCAGCAGUGGGGAAUAUUGGACAAUGGGCGAAAGCCUGAUCCAGCCAUGCCGCGUGUGUGAAGAAGGUCUUCGGAUUGUAAAGCACUUUAAGUUGGGAGGAAGGGCAGUAAGUUAAUACCUUGCUGUUUUGACGUUACCAACAGAAUAAGCACCGGCUAACUUCGUG